Molecule: transfer RNA, 76 nt
Filed under: bacterium
Lineage: Bacteria
Description: tRNA-OTHER
Rfam family: tRNA
About the family: Transfer RNA (tRNA) molecules are approximately 80 nucleotides in length. Their secondary structure includes four short double-helical elements and three loops (D, anti-codon, and T loops).
Source: RNAcentral
UCUGGGUUGUAGCUUAGUCGGUAAGAGCGCCUGUAUCUUUACAGGAGGUCACAGGUUCGAGCCCUGUCUCCCAGAC